UAAAAUUUUCAGUCUGCCUGGUUUUUGGAAUCGGUUCCGUAAAAAAAUAGUAAAUUAAGCGAUUAAGUAGCAAAAUAAUUAAAUAUUGUGUUAAUAUUUCAUAACUAAUUUACUACUUCGUCAUUCUACAAAAUAUUUAACGUUUGAAUGCAAGUAUUUCCGGUUUUCUUAUGAGCAUCCUAAAUGUGCAUCAAGUAAUACUGACAACAGCCGGCAGUGGUCAACAGUUGCCAAGUGGACACCGGUGAAACAGUGCGAAUUGCGAAUAAAAAAAGUAAAUAAAAAAUGUGCAGGCUUCAAAUUGUACCUAUGUGAAUUAAAAAUGUGAAGUUUCAUUGUAUACCGCGUUUGAGAGACAUUCGUAAUCUAAGGAAUUCAUAAAAAAGGUGCGCGUCGCGAAUCAAAGUGCGUGAUCAUAAAGAAGCGAAAAGUUCACAAUCAAAUUGGAAUCUCAUUAGCAAGAACAAUGCUCCAACUGGGCAUAAGUAGAUCAGUGCCAUGUCGGAGUUGAAUUAAAAUUAGUUUUCAAGAAAUGCCCAAUUACUAGUAUGAAUAUACAAAGUUUGUAAUCUUGGUAGCCGUAGGAUUUCUCCCUCAUGCAAGCGGGUCGCGGACUGAACAUAUGUACCAACAAAGUGUUAUGCGAAUUUUGUGAAGUGUAUAUAGCCGACUUCAAUAACGCGUUUAGAUGUCACGGUAGGACGAAUAAAAAGUGUUGCGGAGUAAAACAAGAACGGCUGCUUUCACAAGUGGACUGCUCGGGGCAUAUUAAAAAUAAUAACUGAAAGAGACUCCCGAUGGCCACACAAGACGAAUUGACCCAUUAUGAGAAUUACAAAGAUGUCUACAAUUGCCAUGCUUACAAAAGAAUGUGUGAUUGUGUGUUGGCUUUAAUUUACUGAUUUAAUAUCCCCAAGGAGUUAUGCAUGAUUGUGUGUGUGUGUAUGGGUGUUUGUAUAUGAAAAUAAUGAGCAUUAAAUACACUCAUACUUAAACAUAUGAUUACAAGCCUCAUAUUCGGUGAGUGAGUGUGUCAUUUGUAAUUCUCCAGUUACUGAUUUUCUUUUAAUAUCGUUGUUGUUAUUGUUGUUGUUGUUUACAUACAUUAUUAUCCAUAUAAAAUGCAAAACUCAAAUAAUUUAUCACAACAGACAA
This is a long non-coding RNA of Stomoxys calcitrans (stable fly), 1155 nucleotides long. RefSeq lists it as uncharacterized. The transcript is spliced from 3 exons. NCBI's taxonomy places the organism in Eukaryota, Metazoa, Arthropoda, Insecta, Diptera, Muscidae. The record is from RefSeq and is a predicted model, not a curated record.